This is a small nucleolar RNA of Hyla sarda, 133 nucleotides long. RefSeq annotates it as small nucleolar RNA SNORA68. NCBI's taxonomy places the organism in Eukaryota, Metazoa, Chordata, Amphibia, Anura, Hylidae. The record is from RefSeq and is a predicted model, not a curated record. The transcript has a single exon.
AAGGCACACAUAACCCAAAGAUUACCGCUUUACCAUGUAGUAAUCUUGUCUCGUGUGCCCAGAGUAAGGUUGUACCUUGUCGCCUUUCAGGAGCUGAAGUGCUUGUGAAAGUGAAACUGAAGGUUCUACAUUA